GAAGGCCUUCGGGUUGUAAACCUCUUUCGUAGAGGAGGAAGGGACUGUGAAGAGCAGUUCUUGACCUAUUCUAGGAAGAAGCUUGGGCUAAGUUCGUGCCAGCAGCCGCGGUAAGACGAACCAAGCGAACGUUAUUCGGAAUUACUGGGCUUAAAGCGCGUGUAGGCGGACUGCCACGUCGGUUGUUGAAAUCCCCCGGCUUAACCGGGGAACAGGCACCGAUACGAGUAGUCUUGAGGUGGGUAGGGGAGACUGGAACUUCCGGUGGAGCGGUGAAAUGCGUUGAGAUCGGAAGGAACGCCCGCGGCGAAAGCGAGUCUCUGGCCCCAUACUGACGCUGAGACGCGAAAGCCAGGGGAGCAAACGGGAUUAGAUACCCCGGUAGUCCUGGCUGUAAACAUUGGGCACUGGGUAGUGGAACCGCCGAUGGUUUCACUGCCGCAGGGAAACCGUGAAGUGCCCCGCCUGGGGAGUAUGGUCGCAAGGCUGAAACUCAAAGGAAUUGACGGGGGCUCACACAAGCAGUGGAGUAUGUGGCUUAAUUCGAGGCUACGCGAAGAACCUUACCUAGGCUUGACAUGCAAGGAUUAGUCGGCGGAAACGUCGAUGACGCCGCAAGGUGGAACUUGCACAGGUGCUGCAUGGCUGUCGUCAGCUCGUGCCGUGAGGUGUUGGGUUAAGUCCCGUAACGAGCGAAACCCCUGUGUCCAGUUGCCAGCGCGUAAAGGCGGGGACUCUGGACAGACCGCCGGUGUUAAACCGGAGGAAGGCGGGGACGACGUCAAGUCAUCAUGGCCCUUAUGCCUAGGGCUGCACACGUACUACAAUGGGCCGGACAAAGCGACGCAAGACCGCGAGGUGGAGCAAAUCGCAAAAACCGUCCCCCAGUUCAGAUUGCACUCUGCAAUUCGAGUGCAUGAAGUUGGAAUUGCUAGUAAUCGCGGAUCAGCACUGCCGCGGUGAAUGUGUUCCCUGA
Molecule: ribosomal RNA, 976 nt
Filed under: uncultured bacterium
Lineage: Bacteria
Description: bacterial SSU rRNA
Rfam family: Bacterial small subunit ribosomal RNA
Source: RNAcentral